RNAcentral lists this ribosomal RNA (269 nucleotides) under uncultured prokaryote. Its description in RNAcentral is "partial 16S ribosomal RNA". It matches the Rfam family "Bacterial small subunit ribosomal RNA", at positions 524 to 792 of the family's 1533-position model. The record is from RNAcentral.
UACGUAGGAGGCAAGCGUUAUCCGGAUUUACUGGGCGUAAAGAGGGCGUAGGUGGCCCUUCAAGUCAGAUGUGAAAUCUCCCGGCUUAACUGGGAGGGUGCAUUUGAUACUGAUAGGCUAGAGUGCAGCAGAGGGAAGUGGAAUUCCCGGUGUAGUGGUGAAAUGCGUAGAUAUCGGGAGGAACACUAGUGGCGAAGGCGGCUUCCUGGGCUGUUACUGACACUGAGGCCCGAAGGCGUGGGGAGCAAACAGGAUUAGAUACCCCGGUA